Molecule: ribosomal RNA, 253 nt
Filed under: uncultured bacterium
Lineage: Bacteria
Description: partial 16S ribosomal RNA
Rfam family: Bacterial small subunit ribosomal RNA
Source: RNAcentral
UACGGGGGGAGCAAGCGUUGUUCGGAUUUACUGGGCGUAAAGGGCUCGUAGGCGGCCAACUAAGUCGGAUGUGAAAUCCCCAAGCUUAACUUGGGAACUGCAUCCGAUACUGGAUGGCUUGAAUCCGGGAGAGGGAUGCAGAAUUCCAGGUGUAGCGGUGAAAUGCGUAGAUAUCUGGAGGAAUACCGGUGGCGAAGGCGGCAUCCUGGACCGGCAUUGACGCUGAGGAGCGAAAGCAUGGGGAGCGAACAGG